GACGAACGCUGGCGGCGUGCUUAACACAUGCAAGUCGAACGAAGAGCGAUGGAAGCUUGCUUCUAUCAAUCUUAGUGGCGAACGGGUGAGUAACGCGUAAUCAACCUGCCCUUCAGAGGGGGACAACAGUUGGAAACGACUGCUAAUACCGCAUACGAUCUAAUCUCGGCAUCGAGGAAAGAUGAAAGGUGGCCUCUAUUUAUAAGCUAUCACUGAAGGAGGGGAUUGCGUCUGAUUAGCUAGUUGGAGGGGUAACGGCCCAUCAAGGCGAUGAUCAGUAGCCGGUCUGAUAGGAUGAACGGCCACAUUGGGACUGAGACACGGCCCAGACUCCUACGGGAGGCAGCAGUGGGGAAUCUGCCGCAAUGGACGAAAGUCUGACGGAGCAACGCCGCGUGAGUGAUGACGGCCGUCGGGUUGUAAAGCUCUGUUAAUCGGGACGAAAGGCCUUCUUGCGAACAGUUAGAAGGAUUGACGGUACCGGAAUAGAAAGCCACGGCUAACUACGUG
Molecule: ribosomal RNA, 510 nt
Filed under: uncultured bacterium
Lineage: Bacteria
Description: partial 16S ribosomal RNA
Rfam family: Bacterial small subunit ribosomal RNA
Source: RNAcentral